UUUCAAAAUUGUUAGUUUAAUCAUAGCUGUUGUUCGGUUACACAAUGCAAAUUCAACCGAGGAAGUUAUAAUAAAAGUUAUGACAAACUGGAUAGUUCAAGCUCCUGCACGUGUUCGAAGAAUAGCAAACAAACAAAAAAACCAAAAUAAUCAGGAUGAUCCUGAUCAUCUUGAUCAAGUUCAAGUUCCACAUGUUCAAGAAGAAAAUAUUAAUAUGUAAGAAAAUCUACGUA
Long non-coding RNA from Odontomachus brunneus, 233 nucleotides. RefSeq lists it as uncharacterized. NCBI's taxonomy places the organism in Eukaryota, Metazoa, Arthropoda, Insecta, Hymenoptera, Formicidae. The record is from RefSeq and is a predicted model, not a curated record. The transcript is spliced from 3 exons.